Molecule: ribosomal RNA, 402 nt
Filed under: uncultured bacterium
Lineage: Bacteria
Description: bacterial SSU rRNA
Rfam family: Bacterial small subunit ribosomal RNA
Source: RNAcentral
UAUUGGACAAUGGGCGGAAGCCUGAUCCAGCAACGCCGCGUGAGGGAUGACGGCCUUCGGGUUGUAAACCUCUUUCGCCUGUGACGAAGCGCAAGUGACGGUAACAGGUAAAGAAGCACCGGCCAACUACGUGCCAGCAGCCGCGGUAAUACGUAGGGUGCGAGCGUUGUCCGGAAUUAUUGGGCGUAAAGGGCUCGUAGGCGGUUUGUCGCGUCGGGAGUGAAAACCAGGUGCUUAACACCUGGCUUGCUUUCGAUACGGGCAGACUAGAGGUAUUCAGGGGAGAACGGAAUUCCUGGUGUAGCGGUGAAAUGCGCAGAUAUCAGGAGGAACACCGGUGGCGAAGGCGGUUCUCUGGGAAUGACCUGACGCUGAGGAGCGAAAGUGUGGGGAGCGAACAGG